UUGGGAGCUCUCCCAUAUGGUCGACCUGCAGGCGGCCGCGAAUUCACUAGUGAUUCGUAUUACCGCGGCUGCUGGCACGGAGUUAGCCGGAGCUUAUUCUCCCGGUACUGUCAUUAUCAUCCCGGGUAAAAGAGCUUUACAACCCUAAGGCCUUCAUCACUCACGCGGCAUUGCUGGAUCAGGCUUUCGCCCAUUGUCCAAUAUUCCCCACUGCUGCCUCCCGUAGGAGUCUGGGCCGUGUCUCAGUCCCAGUGUGGCUGGUCACCCUCUCAGGCCGGCUACCCGUCAAAGCCUUGGUAAGCCACUACCCCACCAACAAGCUGAUAAGCCGCGAGUCCAUCCCCAACCGCCGAAACUUUCCAACCCCCACCAUGCAGCAGGAGCUCCUAUCCGGUAUUAGCCCCAGUUUCCUGAAGUUAUCCCAAAGUCAAGGGCAGGUUACUCACGUGUUACUCACCCGCUCGCCACUCGAGCACCCCACAAAAGCAGGGCCUUUCCGUUCGACUUGCAUGUGUUAAGCACGCCGCCAGCGUUCGUCCUGAGCCAUGAUCAAACUCUAAUCGAAUUCCCGCGGCCG
This 577-nucleotide ribosomal RNA is filed under the name uncultured Actinomycetes bacterium. RNAcentral describes it as "uncultured actinobacterium partial 16S ribosomal RNA". The record is from RNAcentral. Lineage: Bacteria; Bacillati; Actinomycetota; Actinomycetes.